UCAAACUUGGUCAUUUAGAGGAAGUAAAAGUCGUAACAAGGUUUCCGUAGGUGAACCUGCGGAAGGAUCAUUCAUAAUAAAAGUGUUUAUGGCACUUUUCAAACAAAUCCAUAUCCACCUUGUGUGCAAUGUUUUUUUUUUUCUAAUUGAACACCUUUCUUUAAUUGACAAUUGUAUCUGAAGAAAUCAGUAUUAUGAAUUAACCUAAUUCAAAAUAUAACUUUCAACAACGGAUCUCUUGGCUCUCGCAUCGAUGAAGAACGCAGC
This 267-nucleotide unclassified non-coding RNA is filed under the name uncultured fungus. RNAcentral describes it as "partial contains small subunit ribosomal RNA, internal transcribed spacer 1, and 5.8S ribosomal RNA". The stretch from base 1 to 73 matches the Rfam family "Eukaryotic small subunit ribosomal RNA", at positions 1759 to 1831 of the family's 1831-position model. The record is from RNAcentral. Lineage: Eukaryota; Fungi.